This 74-nucleotide transfer RNA is filed under the name Patescibacteria group bacterium. Its description in RNAcentral is "tRNA-Gly". It matches the Rfam family "tRNA". From Rfam's summary of the family: Transfer RNA (tRNA) molecules are approximately 80 nucleotides in length. The record is from RNAcentral. RNAcentral also lists the same sequence under 2 other names.
GCGGGAUUAGUUGAUCGGUUCAACAUUUGCUUUCCAAGCAAAAAAGAGGGGUUCGACUCCCCUAUCCCGCUCCA